This 106-nucleotide non-coding RNA is filed under the name Thermoclostridium stercorarium. RNAcentral describes it as "Clostridium stercorarium Glycine sequence". It matches the Rfam family "Glycine riboswitch aptamer". From Rfam's summary of the family: This family represents the bacterial glycine riboswitch. Glycine riboswitches usually consist of two metabolite-binding aptamers domains with similar structures in tandem. RNAcentral also lists the same sequence under 1 other name. Lineage: Bacteria; Bacillati; Bacillota; Clostridia; Eubacteriales; Oscillospiraceae. The record is from RNAcentral.
GGAGGGAGCUCUGGAGAAUCCCAUUCAUUGGGUGCCGACGGUGCAAAGCAGGCGGGCUGUAAUCCCUUCUGCUGAAUCUCUCAGGCAGACGGACAGAGCCGGGUAU